AUCUAUUUGACAUUGAGUUUUUGCUUCGGUUUUAUUUUCUGUGUUACUCUGUUGCGCCGCUUUUGCUUCUGCAACCUGUAAUUCGAGAUUUUUCCAAGUUAUUCAGAUUCCGCAUUUGAUUUCAUCUGUCAUCUUGUUUCUCUACUCUUUAUCUCUUUACUUAUGCAAUAUUAUCAUUUAUCUGCGUUUAUGUCUUUGAGCAUGUUGUUUGAGUAGUGACAUAGAGUUCUUAAGGAUGGGAUAGAGUAGUUGUGGAAUCCGUAGUCUGUAGAAUGGUUAAGUUUAGAAUUGAUUGAAUCCCUUUAGGACUAGUUGUGUUGACUGCUUAUUUCUUUCUGAUCAACUGGAAUUCGAUCCCAAGCAUUCCCGCAUCCAGAAGGUGUUCGAUGGAAUGUUUGAUCCACUAGUUCCUGAGAUAUUU
This 421-nucleotide small RNA is filed under the name Arabidopsis thaliana (thale cress). Its description in RNAcentral is "ATSL269960". Lineage: Eukaryota; Viridiplantae; Streptophyta; Magnoliopsida; Brassicales; Brassicaceae. The record is from RNAcentral.